Molecule: long non-coding RNA, 848 nt
Organism: Helianthus annuus (common sunflower)
Lineage: Eukaryota; Viridiplantae; Streptophyta; Magnoliopsida; Asterales; Asteraceae
Exons: 3
Source: RefSeq, a predicted model, not a curated record
AGUAUAUAUUGUUGUGUUUGUUUUACUAAUUUUUCCUUUGUAUUUUAUGCAUAAAUGGAACCACCUGCAAUAACUCUGUUGAAUAAUUUGGACCUCAACGUUGAUAACUACACCAUCAGAAUUCGCAUUGUUCGUUUGUGGACAAGAGCUGAUUUCAAUAACGCUAGAAAAGUUUAUUGCUAUGAUAGUAAUGGACAGUGAGGGAACAAAAAUGCAAGCUUUUGUUUUAGCUAAAAACGCAACUGAAUAUCAACAUCUUUUAGAAGAAAAGCGUUGUUUGACGAUUUGAAAUCCUUCCUUGGGUGAGAAUCGUUAGAAGGUCAAAUACGCUCACGGUGGUUUGAAGAUUAACUUUAACAAGAACACCGUUGUCGAGGAAUGCCACGAGGCUAUUGGUUCUGAAUGGGGUUUUGAUUUUACUUCGUUUGAUUCUGUUGUGGAGGAUCCCACAGAUGACAACAAGUUUUUUAAAAGUCCAAUUGGUAUCAUAUACAUUAUACACUAUAUCCAUGCAACAUAACACAUAUUUAUUUUUAUGACACCAUUUAUAUUUUCCUCAGAUGUAAUUGGAUUUGUGGUCAAAAGUUUUCCCUUCGAGGUAGACAUGGAAACUAAUAAUGGAAAGAACCAGAAGAAAGUCACGUUUAUGCUUGAAGACUUGAACAAUAAGCAGAUUUUUGUGACACUUUGGGACGGUUAUGCUGAUCAAAUAAUGGAGUAUGAGAGCAGCAAUCGAGGUGAAAAAAACGUGGUCGUAAUCAUUCAGUUUGGAAAAUACAAAUUCUGGGGAGGUAUAUAACUACUUUAAAUCUAUUAUGUAUUUUAUUUACUGUAUCAAUUUUGUAACA